ACGCUAAUACCGCAUACGAACUAAGGUUGAAAGUGGGGGAUCGCAAGACCUCAUGCUCAUGGAGUGGCCGAUAUCUGAUUAGCUAGUUGGUGAGGUAAAGGCUCACCAAGGCGACGAUCAGUAGCUGGUUUGAGAGAACGACCAGCCACACUGGAACUGAGACACGGUCCAGACUCCUACGGGAGGCAGCAGUGGGGAAUUUUGGACAAUGGGCGCAAGCCUGAUCCAGCAAUGCCGCGUGAGUGAAGAAGGCCUUCGGGUUG
RNAcentral lists this ribosomal RNA (263 nucleotides) under uncultured bacterium. Its description in RNAcentral is "partial 16S ribosomal RNA". It matches the Rfam family "Bacterial small subunit ribosomal RNA", at positions 160 to 425 of the family's 1533-position model. The record is from RNAcentral.